UCCGGUAUGGUGUAACGGCUAACAUUGCCGCCUUUCAUGCAUAGGUUCCGCGGCAGCUCGGGGUUCGAUUCCCCGUACCGGAA
Non-coding RNA from Tephrocybe sp. NHM501043, 83 nucleotides. The record is from the annotation of a GenBank genome assembly. Lineage: Eukaryota; Fungi; Basidiomycota; Agaricomycetes; Agaricales; Lyophyllaceae.